CAAAGACAGCGAUUGUUACCCAAUAAGCAGUAGUCACACACUUCUACCAAUCGCCUUAGGAGGGCUGGUUACCAUGGAAUCCACCAUCUGUUCACUCCCCACCGGAAUGUGAUUAUCCUUGCUGGGCUGGGAACUGGGAAAAGCAGGGGAGCCUGUGCUGGGUGAGAUUAUCUGCAAUGGGCUGGGUUAAUGGGAGGCUUGCUUUGGCUCGCUGGAAGAACAAAUGAAGGGAGUUUUACUUCAACCAUUUGUGACUUCUGGCCAAGAGGAAUAAAUUCAGCUUUUAUAAGGCAGCAGUACCUGUCCAAAGAUCGCUUUAGUUCCACCUUGCUCCACAAGCAGCACAGCCACACUGGUUGGUGAGAAUGUAUCUGAAGAAGAGGCUCAGGGAAUAAAUGGGAACAGGCCAGCAAAACACUCAGCUGCAAGUCCAAAGCCACAAGCUCAUUAUCAAAUUAUAGUGAUUUGAAGAAAGAGUCUGCUGUGAACUUAAGUGCUCCUAGAACCCCAGGAAGGCAUGGAUUGACAACCACACCUCAACAAAAACUCCUCUCCCAGCACUUGCCACAGAGGCAGGGAAAUGAUACAGAUAAGACUCAGGGUGCACAGACUUGUGUGGCCAACGGUGUAAUGGCAGCACAAAACCAGAUGGAAUGUGAGGAGGAGAAAGCUGCCACUCUUAGCCCAGAUACUUCUAUUCAAGCUUCUGAACCCUUGCUUGAUAUGCACAUAGUGAAUGGAGAAAGAGAUGAAACUGCCACAGCUCCUGCAUCACCCACAACAGAUAGCUGUGAUGGAAAUGCUUCUGACGGUAGCUACAGGACUCCAGGCAUAGGCCCAGUGCUCCCCCUAGAAGAAAGAGGGGCAGAAACAGAAACCAAGGUACAAGAGAGGGAGAAUGGGGAAAGCCCUCUGGAACUGGAGCAGCUGGACCAGCACCAUGAGAUGAAGGUAGAGCAUGAGACUAGCUCAUAAGCAGGGAAAACCCUGCCUAUUCGAUUGUUGUCUUAAAACUCUUUAUUUAUUGCACCCCUGAAAUGUAUGAAUCAGAUCACCCACACUGGCAGUUAAACGAUUUUCAAGCUCUGGCUGCUGAUGAGCAUUUCCCCUAUGCUCUAAGCAGAUAUUUUACUUUUUCUUUUCAUGUAGUUUCUGUUAAUAUCUCUGUUGUAAUUUCAGGAGUCAGAACAGUGUGGAAACUUUAAUAUAGGAAAUCCACAAAUGUAUUGUUUUUACAUAGAAAGAAAAUGUUCCUUGUUGCUCUAGAUGUUGGUGCUGUAUCCCUAAUACUUAUAGGCCAAGCAAGAAGAAAUUGUAUAAUCUUUCUUGUUCAGAAGUUUCUAAUAGAAUAAAUAGGCCUGUAAGAUGAACUUGCCACUAGUAAAUGUUACUUUUAAGGACAUGAAUAUGGAAGUAUUAAAUUAUUCAACAGAUUAUAA
Molecule: small RNA, 1439 nt
Filed under: Pongo abelii (Sumatran orangutan)
Lineage: Eukaryota; Metazoa; Chordata; Mammalia; Primates; Hominidae
Description: retained intron
Source: RNAcentral